CCCUUAGAUGUUCUGGGCUGCACGCGCGCUACACUGAUGCGCUCAACGAGUUUUAACCUUGCCUGGAAAGGUUGGGUAAUCUUUUUAAAACGCAUCGUGAUGGGGAUAGAUUAUUGCAAUUAUUAAUCUUCAACGAGGAAUUCCUAGUAAGCGCGAGUCAUCAGCUCGUGCUGAUUACGUCCCUGCCCUUUGUACACACCGCCCGUCGCACCUACCGAUUGAAUGGUCCGGUGAAGCCUCCGGAUUGGCGCGCACCUCGGUGCCGCCGAGAAGUUGGCUAAACCUUACCAUUUAGAGGAAGGUGAAGUCGUAACA
RNAcentral lists this ribosomal RNA (315 nucleotides) under uncultured eukaryote. RNAcentral describes it as "partial 18S ribosomal RNA". It matches the Rfam family "Eukaryotic small subunit ribosomal RNA", at positions 1470 to 1796 of the family's 1831-position model. The record is from RNAcentral.